This 92-nucleotide transfer RNA is filed under the name Mycobacterium stomatepiae. RNAcentral describes it as "tRNA-Arg". The record is from RNAcentral. Lineage: Bacteria; Bacillati; Actinomycetota; Actinomycetes; Mycobacteriales; Mycobacteriaceae.
CAGCAGGUCGGCCCGCGGGUGGCCGCGCGCUUCGGGCGGGCGCUGCUGGAGCUCGGCGGCAACAACGCGGCGAUCGUGACGCCGUCGGCCGA